GACGAACGCUGGCGGCGUGCUUAACACAUGCAAGUCGAACGGUGAAGGGGCCUGCUUUUGUGGGCCCUGGAUGAGUGGCGAACGGGUGAGUAACACGUGAGUAACCUGCCCCCUUCUUCUGGAUAACCGCAUGAAAGUGUGGCUAAUACGGGAUAUUCUGGGUCUGUCGCAUGAUGGGUCUGGGAAAGAUUGCGCCUUUGGGUGUUUUUGGUGGGGGAUGGGCUCGCGGCCUAUCAGCUUGUUGGUGGGGUGAUGGCCUACCAAGGCGGUGACGGGUAGCCGGCCUGAGAGGGGGGACGGUCACACUGGGACUGAGACACGGCCCAGACUCCUACGGGAGGCAGCAGUGGGGAAUAUUGCACAAUGGGCGCAAGCCUGAUGCAGCGACGCCGCGUGAGGGAUGGAGGCCUUCGGGUUGUAAACCUCUUUCGCCAGUGAAGCAGGCCUGCUCCUUGUGGGUGGGUUGACGGUAGCUGGAUAAGAAGCGCCGGCUAACUACGUG
This 502-nucleotide ribosomal RNA is filed under the name uncultured bacterium. RNAcentral's name for it is "partial 16S ribosomal RNA". It matches the Rfam family "Bacterial small subunit ribosomal RNA", at positions 28 to 507 of the family's 1533-position model. The record is from RNAcentral.